Molecule: long non-coding RNA, 913 nt
Filed under: Homo sapiens (human)
Lineage: Eukaryota; Metazoa; Chordata; Mammalia; Primates; Hominidae
Description: HSALNT0055728
Source: RNAcentral
CAAAGUGUGCUUUGUACACUUGCUGGUGCCAUUUGUGGCUGAGAAGAACUUUCUCGGAUUGCUUUGGAAUGAUGAAGAGUGUGUCUCUCAUCCAAGAACUGAAAUGAUACCUUCAGGUGAGUCCAGAGUCCAAAUCCUCAAAGGAGGGAUUUAGGAAAGGAUUCGAGAGGAUCAGGUUUAAACCAAACAAUCCCUUAAGAAGAAAUUCCAUUCAAGUUCUUUCUUUAAAACAGGAAAUUAAACAGAGUCAUUAUAAGGCAAACUCAAGAGAGUGGUAGCACCAUCCCUCCCAACUGUUAGUUGCAUGAAUUUCAUUUUGGGUCAUCUGUGAAUCGAAACUAUUUAAAUUUGAUCCCGUUAACCACGGCUCUUUUAAAGUACAACCAUCAGAAUUCUAGGCAAAAUGCAUCCUUUUAGAAGCAUAUAAUAUAUCCGAAGUACAACUCUUUGCAUAAUUAUCAAGAUUUAAGUCUCCUGUAGUAUUAUUUUAAGUAUUUUAUUAAAUUCAUGGGCCUAUUCCCAAAACUCUUGUAGCAGUGGACAGGGACAGAUUAUAGAACGUGAAUUCUUUCAAGACCCUAGUUGAGUUAACAUACUUUAUUAAAAUUACUUGAGGCAAGCCAGAAAGUAAAACUGGUAAAGCAGGCAUUGGUUGGCAUACUUUCCAGAUGUUUUUAUUUUUAAGUUUUCAUUAAGUGAUUAUCAGCAGAAUAGCAACAAGAUUGAAAUCCCUCCCAGUCAAUAACUCUCUCAGUUCCUUUCAACAAAGCGUUCACCCCACGACUGAAUUGCACAUUGUUCUAUAUGAACACAAGAAGAAAGACUUCAUACACAUCUUCUAAAAUUCUUGUCAGGGCAGAAUGUUGGUGCAAACUCCUCUUGAAACACUAAAUGAUGAAUGCUUAAAAUUAAU